RNAcentral lists this ribosomal RNA (251 nucleotides) under uncultured prokaryote. RNAcentral's name for it is "partial 16S rRNA". It matches the Rfam family "Bacterial small subunit ribosomal RNA", at positions 525 to 775 of the family's 1533-position model. The record is from RNAcentral.
ACAGAGGCUGCAAGCGUUGUUCGGAUUUAUUGGGCGUAAAGGGCGCGUAGGCGGUUGUGUAAGUCAGAUGUGAAAUCCUUCGGCUCAACUGAAGAACUGCAUUUGAAACUUCAUAACUCGAGUACAGGAGAGGGAAACGGAAUUCCUGGUGUAGCGGUGAAAUGCGUAGAUAUCGAGAGGAACACCAGUGGCGAAGGCGGUUACAUGGCCUGAUACUGACGCUGAGGCGCGAAAGCUUGGGGAGCAAACAG